GUCUAGUGUUUCGAGUAUCCUACUCUGACAAACAAACCAAGCGUGAAUGUGUUGCGGAUGCCUUGCGGCCCCGAACGUAUGUGGGAGGGAGUGUGACUAGUGUGAUUAGCGUGAUUAGCGUGAUUAUACAACCACGACACAACCACCCCCACCAAUCCCACCCAACCACCUCCCAUGACUCGCAAUGAUCCUUCCGCAGGUUCACCUACGGAAA
Molecule: unclassified non-coding RNA, 214 nt
Filed under: uncultured fungus
Lineage: Eukaryota; Fungi
Description: sequence contains ITS1
Source: RNAcentral